AUGAACGCUGGCGGCGUGCCUAAUACAUGCAAGUCGAGCGAACAGAUGAGGAGCUUGCUCCUCUGACGUUAGCGGCGGACGGGUGAGUAACACGUGGAUAACCUACCUAUAAGACUGGGAUAACUUCGGGAAACCGGAGCUAAUACCGGAUAAUAUAUUGAACCGCAUGGUUCGAUAGUGAAAGACGGUUUUGCUGUCACUUAUAGAUGGAUCCGCGCCGCAUUAGCUAGUUGGUAAGGUAACGGCUUACCAAGGCAACGAUGCGUAGCCGACCUGAGAGGGUGAUCGGCCACACUGGAACUGAGACACGGUCCAGACUCCUACGGGAGGCAGCAGUAGGGAAUCUUCCGCAAUGGGCGAAAGCCUGACGGAGCAACGCCGCGUGAGUGAUGAAGGUCUUCGGAUCGUAAAACUCUGUUAUUAGGGAAGAACAAAUGUGUAAGUAACUAUGCACGUCUUGACGGUACCUAAUCAGAAAGCCACGGCUAACUACGUG
This 496-nucleotide ribosomal RNA is filed under the name uncultured bacterium. RNAcentral describes it as "partial 16S ribosomal RNA". It matches the Rfam family "Bacterial small subunit ribosomal RNA", at positions 29 to 507 of the family's 1533-position model. The record is from RNAcentral.